Heterocephalus glaber (naked mole-rat) is the source of this 4910-nucleotide non-coding RNA. Lineage: Eukaryota; Metazoa; Chordata; Mammalia; Rodentia; Bathyergidae. The record is from RefSeq and is a predicted model, not a curated record.
CCCGGGCUUCCGGUUCGGUGGCUCCGGAAGCUGCGGUCGGCUGGUUGGACUCCAGUCACCAUGGCGCUGGCCGUCCUGAGAGUCCUGGAGCCCUUCCCGACCGAGACACCCCCGCUGGCUGUGCUGCUGCCGCCGGGGGGCCCAUGGCCUGCGGUGGGUCUGGGCCUAGUGCUGGCGCUGCGGCCUGCGAGCGAGGGCCCGGCGGGGCUGGCCCUGCUCGUGGCGGCCCUAGAGGGGACGGGUGUGGAGUCCGAAGCGCGCGGCCUGGGGCUGCCGCAGCUUCUGGUCAGCCGCGCGCUACUGCAGCUCCUGGCCCUGGGCUCUGGGGCGCAAGUGCGGGCGCGGCCCGUGCGGCGGCCUCCAGCGCUCGGCUGGGCUUUGCUGGGCGCCUCGCCCGGGCCGGGGCUGGGACCUCGGGCCGGGCCGUUGCUGGUGAGGCGUGGGGAGAUCCUGCCGGUGCCCGGGCCGCGCGUCCUGGAGACUCGCCCAGCGCUACAGGGGCUGCUGGGCCCGGGGACGCGGCUGACCGUGACUGAGCUCCGCCGACGGACUAGACUGGCCCCGGAGCCGGGAGACAGCAGCUGCCCGCCACCCGCGCCUGUGGUGUCGUCCUUCGCGGUGUCCAGCACGGCGCGGCAGCUCCAGGGAGUACUGGGAGGGACCGGCGAUGCACUGGGCGUGAGCCGGAGCUGCCUCCGCGGCCUCGGCCUUUUCCAGGGUGAGUGGGUGUGGGUGGCCCGGGCGGGAGAGUCGUCGGACACUGCCCAACCCCACCUGGCCAAAGUGCAGGUCCUGGAGCCUCACUGGAACCUAGCUGAGAGGCUGGGACCCGGCUCCGGGCAGCCGCGAGAGCAGCUUUCCGACCACCUGGCGCUCGUGUCCGCCACGCUGGCGUUUAAUCUCGGCUGUGACCCCCUGGAAGUGGGAGAGCUCAAAAUUCAGAGGUACACGGAAGGCUCCAUCAGCCCUGAAGACAAAGGAAGCUGCUCAUUGCUGCCUGAGCCUCCAUUUGCCAGAGAGUUACACAUCAACAUUGUGUCCUCUCCCCACUACAGCACUGGUGGAAAUUAUGACCAGGUUCUUUAUCGGCACUUUCAGACACCCAGGGUGGUCCAGGAAGGCGAUGUUCUGUGUGUGCCGACGGCUGGGCAAGUAGAGACCCUGGAAGGAAGUCUGGAGAGACUGCCGAGGUGGCAUGAGGUAUUUUUUAAAGUGAAGAAAAUCGUCGGGGAUGCUCUGGGUAGACUGCCUGCUGCCUACUUGGCCGACACCACACACACCUCCUUGUACAUGGUGGGCUGCACUCUGAGCCGUGUGCCCGCACGCCCUUCGGGAGGGCCCAUUCUCUGGGGUGGCUUAUCCCUUCCUGGCCUGGAGGCCUUGGUGACUGCACUCUGCACCGCCCUGAAGCCUCGUCUUCAGCCAGGGGGUGCCCUGCUGACAGGCACGAGUUGUGUCCUCCUGCGGGGACCCCCAGGGAGUGGGAAGACCACUGCAGUGGCUGCUGCCUGCAGUCGCCUCGGGCUGCACUUGUUGAAGGUGCCCUGCUCCAGUCUCUGUGCAGACAGCAGUGCGGCCUCAGAGGCAAAGCUGCAGGCCACCUUCUCCCGAGCCCGCCGCUGCCGGCCUGCGGUCCUGCUGCUCACAGAUGUGGACCUGCUGGGCCGAGACCGUGAUGGGCUGGGCGAGGACCCCCGGGUGGUAGCUGCGCUGUGUCACCACCUCCUCGAUGAGGAUCCCCCCAGCAGCUGCCCUCCGCUGAUGGUGGUGGCCACCACAAGCCAGGCCCAGGACCUGUCCACUGACGUGCAGACAGCAUUUCCCCACGAGCUACAGGUGCCUGUGCUGGCCGAGGGCCAGCGGCUCAGCAUCCUGCAGGCCCUCACUGCCCACCUGCCCCUGGGCCAGGAGGUGAACCUAGCACAGUUGUCCCGGCAGUGUGUGGGAUUUGUGGCAGGGGACCUGUGCGCCCUUCUGGCCCACAGCAGCCGGGCAGCCUGCGCCAGAAUCGAGAGCUCAGAUUCAGGGGGCAGCCUGAGCGAGGAGGACGAGGCGGAACUGUGUGCCGCUGGCUUCCCCCUCCUGGCCGAGGACUUCGGGCAGGCUCUGGAGCAGCUUCGGACAGCUCACUCCCAGGCUGUGGGGGCACCCAGGAUCCCCUCGGUGUCCUGGCAUGACGUGGGCGGGCUGCAGGAGGUGAAGAGGGAGAUCCUGGAGACCAUCCAGCUUCCCCUGGAGCACCCGGAGCUGCUGGGCCUGGGCCUGAGACGCUCAGGCCUCCUGCUGCAUGGGCCCCCAGGCACCGGAAAGACCCUGUUGGCUAAAGCGGUGGCCACGGAAUGCAGCCUGACCUUCCUCAGUGUGAAGGGGCCGGAGCUCAUCAACAUGUAUGUGGGCCAGAGCGAGGAGAACGUGCGGGAAGUGUUUUCCAGGGCCAGGGCUGCUGCCCCGUGCAUCAUCUUCUUUGAUGAGCUGGACUCCUUGGCUCCAAGCCGGGGACGAAGUGGAGACUCUGGGGGCGUGAUGGACAGGGUGGUGUCUCAGCUCCUGGCCGAGCUAGAUGGGCUUCACAGCACCCAGGAUGUGUUCGUGAUCGGAGCCACCAACAGACCAGACCUCCUGGACCCUGCCCUCCUGCGGCCUGGGAGAUUUGACAAGCUGGUGUUUGUUGGGGCAAGCGAGGACCGGGCCUCCCAGCUGCAUGUACUGAGCGCCAUCACCCACAAGUUCAAGCUUGAGCCCUCGGUGAGCCUGGUGAAUGUGCUGGACCGUUGCCCUCCCCAGCUGACGGGAGCAGACCUCUACUCUCUCUGCUCUGAUGCCAUGACUUCCGCCCUCAAACGCAGGGUUCGUGACCUGGAGGAAGGGCUGGAGCCUGGGAGCUCAGCCCUGUUGCUCACCAUGGAGGACCUGCUACAGGCCGCUGCCCAGCUGCAGCCUUCAGUCAGCGACCAGGAGCUGCUUCGGUACAAGCACAUCCAGCACAAGUUUGCUGCCUGCUAGGAGCCACCUGCCAGUGGGACCUGCCUGCUAUGGCCAAAGGCUGGGUAUGUAGUUCAGUACAAAGCCCCUGGGUUCAGUCCCAGUAUGGAGCACUGGUGCUGUAUGAAAAAUCCACACAGCUAACUGGAGACAGAAACCGGCCUGUAGGAGGUGCCUUGAGUGAACCAUGAGAGGACACCGAGACUUCACUGUCUGGACCUGUGGUACUUCACCUGUUUUGCAAAGCUGAGGUCUAACCCACCUGAGGCAGGCCAUGACCACUGAACUCCACCCCCAGCGCCACCUGUGGCUCUCAACCCCUGAACUGGAAGAAACUGGCUUGUGGUUCGUCCCUCUGCAUCUGCGUCAGCCCUGGUGGUGUGGUUGAUGGGAGCACUGAGAGAUGGAUCCAUUCUGGGGCCUGAGAAGCUACUUUUGAGGACAAGACCCUGAUCCAGUAGGACUCCCUCUUAGGACAGCAAGGUUCUCUUGGAGGGCUGGGGUACAGCUCAGCAGUGAGCACCCCAGAAACAAAUACCAGAGAAGGCAGAGAUGUUUGCUCAGCACGCAGGCUGAUGUGAGGCCCAGACCAACCAGGCCUGCAAUGCACCAGUCACCCAAACAAACUUCCCAGCUCACUGCGGCGGGGCACUCAGAGCUAGAGGCAGAGGCUGGGGGUGGACUAAGGCUCAGCCCUGAGCAGAGACUGCCUCGCUAUGGGAACAUGAGUAGAUGCAGGGGCUGUCUUGCCUGAUUUGUGCUGAACCUCAGGCAGGCUGUUGUGAAGGACUGUCACCAACACCUGCCAACUGUCCUCACACUUAUUUUUAAAACCUUCACCAACAUAAGCAAGGUGAGGAUUCUGUGGCAGACAAGGACUAGAGAAGCCAAAGCCAGGGCAGACCUGGUCCCAGUGAUGCCAUAGCCCGUCCCAAUCAUCUCCUUCGUCUUGCCCGUUUCAUCAAAGGCGGACUUCAGCUCCACAGCGACGUAUUUGCACACUGCAGUGGGGGACACACGACACCGCCCAGCCCUGAGAGCGUGCGCAGGAGCCUGAGGAGAGGCCAGCGCCCAAGCAAGACGACCCAGGCGGAAACACUCCUGGCCUGGACAAGGCACUGCUGGAGGCAGGCAGGAGUCAGCGCCACCCAAGCCUUCAUGCCCCUCAUUACUUCUAAAAGCUUCACGUGUGGUGAAGGGUGGUGGCGCUGGCCUGUAAUCCUGGCACUCAGGAGGCUGAGGCAGGAGGACUGGGAGUUUGAGCUCAGGCUGGGCCACCUAGAGAGUUCAAACCCAGUCUGAACUACAUAGUGAGACCCUGUGUCAGAGAAUAAAUGAAUCAGACAUAGCAUCCCUGAGGCCCUGGAUCUGAUCCCCAGAACCACAAGGAAAAAAAGAGGUCUAAGGGCCGGGGAUUUAGCUCAGUGGUUUCGCCACCUGCUGUGCAGGCUCAAGGACCCGAGUUCGAUCCCCGGUACCAAAAAAAAAAGAAAACGAAAAAAAGAGGUCUGGGUUGUAGCUCCGUAGUAGCAUCCUUGCCUAGUAUUCACCAGGCCCUGGGUUCAAAUUCCCCAUACCAAAAAUAAAAUGAAACAAAAUAAACGAUUAUUUUUUUAAUCCUAACCAAAAGGAAAGUACUGUAAUUAGUAGACUGACCUCAGAGUUAACAUCUGUUACCCAACAAUUUGGUCACAUUAUAAGGGAUGGGGUUUUAAGGAGAAACAGACCUGUGACUACGAUUUAAUUCUGACGCACCAGAGGCUUUCUCACCACAAUGCAAGGCCAGGCCGGACAACUCAGGGAGACCCUGUCUCAAAAUAAAAACAGCUGGGAAAUAAGCAUAUGAAAAAUGUUCAACACCACUGGUCAUUCAAGAGAAAUGCUGAAGUUCCACCUCACUUCAGAAAGAAUGGCUGCUAUCAAGAAAU